CCUACGGGAGGCAGCAGUGGGGGAUAUUGCACAAUGGGGGGAACCCUGAUGCAGCGACGCCGCGUGGGUGAAGAAGCGCCUCGGCGCGUAAAGCCCUGUCAGCAGGGAAGAAAAUGACGGUACCUGAAGAAGAAGCCCCGGCUAACUACGUGCCAGCAGCCGCGGGAAUACGUAGGGGGCAAGCGUUAUCCGGAUUUACUGGGUGUAAAGGGGGCGCAGACGGCGAGGCAAGCCAGGAGUGAAAGCCCGGGGCCCAACCCCGGGACUGCUCUUGGAACUGCGUGGCUGGAGUGCAGGAGGGGCAGGCGGAAUGCCUGGUGUAGCGGUGAAAUGCGUAGAUAUCAGGAGGAACACCGGUGGCGAAGGCGGCCUGCUGGACUGCAACUGACGUUGAGGCCCGAAAGCGUGGGGAGCAAACAGGAUUAGAUACCCUGGUAGUC
Molecule: ribosomal RNA, 440 nt
Filed under: uncultured bacterium
Lineage: Bacteria
Description: partial 16S ribosomal RNA
Rfam family: Bacterial small subunit ribosomal RNA
Source: RNAcentral